ACGGGAGGCAGCAGUGGGGAAUAUUGCACAAUGGGCGCAAGCCUGAUGCAGCGACGCCGCGUGAGCGAAGAAGUAUUUCGGUAUGUAAGGCUCUAUCAGCAGGGAAGAUAAUGACGGUACCUGACUAAGAAGCACCGGCUAAAUACGUGCCAGCAGCCGCGGUAAUACGUAUGGUGCAAGCGUUAUCCGGAUUUACUGGGUGUAAAGGGAGCGUAGGCGGUCUAGCAAGUCUGAUGUGAAAACCCGGGGCUCAACUUCGGGAUUGCAUUGGAAACUGUCAGACUAGAGUGUCGGAGGGGUAAGUGGAAUUCCUAGUGUAGCGGUGAAAUGCGUAGAUAUUAGGAGGAACACCAGUGGCGAAGGCGGCUUACUGGACGAUUACUGACGCUGAGGCUCGAAAGCGUGGGGAGCAAACAGGAUUAGAUACCCUGGUA
Molecule: ribosomal RNA, 434 nt
Filed under: uncultured Pseudobutyrivibrio sp.
Lineage: Bacteria; Bacillati; Bacillota; Clostridia; Lachnospirales; Lachnospiraceae
Description: partial 16S ribosomal RNA
Rfam family: Bacterial small subunit ribosomal RNA
Source: RNAcentral